CCCUUAGAUGUUCUGGGCCGCACGCGCGCUACACUGAUACAUGCAACGAGUUUAUAACCUUGAUCUGACGGUCUGGGUAAUCUUCAAACUGUAUCGUGUUAGGGAUCGAUUCUUGCAAUUUUUAAUCGUAAACGAGGAAUUCCUAGUAAACGCAAGUCAUCAGCUUGCAUUGAUUACGUCCCUGCCCUUUGUACACACCGCCCGUCGACUCUACCGAUUGAAUAGUUCGGUGAAAACUUUGGACUGUGGCAUUGUCCUUCAUUGGACUUCGCCGUAGGAAAUUGUUUAAACCUCNUNAUUUAGNGGAAGAAUAANUCGUANCA
This 323-nucleotide ribosomal RNA is filed under the name uncultured eukaryote. RNAcentral's name for it is "partial 18S ribosomal RNA". It matches the Rfam family "Eukaryotic small subunit ribosomal RNA", at positions 1470 to 1796 of the family's 1831-position model. The record is from RNAcentral.